Phodopus roborovskii (desert hamster) is the source of this 107-nucleotide small nuclear RNA. The record is from RefSeq and is a predicted model, not a curated record. NCBI's taxonomy places the organism in Eukaryota, Metazoa, Chordata, Mammalia, Rodentia, Cricetidae.
GUGCUCAUCCCAGCAGCGCACAGACUAAAACUGAAAUGAUGCACGGACGGUUAGCAUGGCCCCUGCACAAGAUAACACACACAUCCUGCAAAGCCCACACUGUGUGU